This 1134-nucleotide ribosomal RNA is filed under the name Lotharella globosa. RNAcentral's name for it is "partial Bacterial large subunit ribosomal RNA". It matches the Rfam family "Bacterial large subunit ribosomal RNA", at positions 162 to 1423 of the family's 2925-position model. The record is from RNAcentral. Lineage: Eukaryota; Cercozoa; Chlorarachniophyceae.
AUACCGAGAAAGAUAAUAACUACCCGGAGAACUGAAACAUCUAAGUACCUGGUGCUUACUAAAUUAGGGCCCGGAAGUAGCGGCGAGCGAACUUGGGAAAGAUUUUAGAUUGGUUGGGGCUGAUUACAGCUGUUCAAUACCAAGCCAAGGGAGGUGAUAGCCCUCUAUUAACGAAAAAAAGUAGGUCUCUUUGGCUGAAAAAGGGGGGACCGCCCUCCAGUGAGACGCAUGAACAAUCGAUAGUGAACAAGUACCGUGAGGGAAAGCUGAAAGAAAACCCCUAUCUGGGGAGUGAAAUAGAGCUAAAAUCUUUAAGUUUUCAAUCAAGGUGGUGUACCUUUUGCAUAAUGGGCUAACAACUUAAUGUGUGUAGCGAGCGUAACGCGAGGCACGCGUAGCGAAAGCGAGUCCGAUAAGGGCAUAUAGUUACAUGUGUUAAACCCGAAACCGGGUGAUCUAUCCGUGGGCAGGCUAAAGGGAGUCUGAAGGGCCGCACCCUAGGAUGUGGCAAAAUCCAGGGAAGACCUGCGGAUAGGGGUGAAAGGCCAAUCAAACUCGGAAAUAGCUGGUUUUCUGCGAAAUCUGUUUUAGCAGAGCGCUGCAAUCUUAUGGGGGUAGGGCUCUGGGUUCUCGAUGGGGGCGUUGGCUUUACUGACAGUGCUUAAACUACGAAUACCUUAUGCAGCAGACAGGCUGCGGGUGAUAAGAUCCGUGGCCAAGAGGGAAACAGCCCAGAUCGUAGGAUAAGGUUCUUAAUAAUGACUAAGUUAAAGGCGGCUUCGGCGAAAACAACCCUAGCGGUGGGCUUAGAAGCAGCCAUCCGUUAAAGAUAUCGUUAAAGAUUAUGGGACUAGCCACGUGUUGCCAAAAAUUUUUGGAGAUGGAGUCAUUAACCGAAGCCACGACUGCGCUUCACGCGCGGGGUAGCAGAAUGUUUAUAAUUGGUUGAAGCUGGCGCGAAAGCGCGCGUUGUAUAGACGGAGUGGACGAUUAUAAAGUAACAAUGUUAGCAUGAGUAACUAUAAUCUUCUGAGAACGGAGAUCACCGAAAAGCCCAAGGUUUGCUGCAAACGGACAUUCCUGGCAGCGUGACACGGUUCCUAAGAGACAGCCCGACAGGGUUGCUCGAUGGCA